Molecule: long non-coding RNA, 237 nt
Organism: Oncorhynchus keta (chum salmon)
Lineage: Eukaryota; Metazoa; Chordata; Actinopteri; Salmoniformes; Salmonidae
Exons: 3
Source: RefSeq, a predicted model, not a curated record
GUCAACUCUGUUAUGUGAACUGAACUCUGGUCAUUUUAAGGUCAACUCUGUUAUGUGAACUGAACUCUGGUCAUUUUAAGGUCAACUCUGUUAUGUGAACUGAACUCUGGUCAUUUUAAGGUCAACUCUGUUAUGUGAACUGAACUCUGGUCAUUUUAAGGUCAACUCUGUUAUGUGAACUGAACUCUGGUCAUUUUAAGGUCAACUCUGUUAUGUGAACUGAACUCUGGUCAUUUU